CCGGGCUCCGCCUCGGCCGCUCCUCCUCCAGCGCCUGACGAAGAAUGUCAGCGCCAGGAGCAGCAGCAGCAGCAGCGCCCCGGCCCCGGCCAGGCCCCCGACCAGCGCCCUCCACUGGACGGCCACCUCGCAGCGUGGGCCCAAGAACCAGAGCGUGUCCGUGGAGAAGCAGCUGGAGAGGGGGUCACAGGUCACAGACCCCGCCACCUCCCAAGCCCGGUUAACUCGCGCAACUGGACCCAGCCAGGGCUGGCAGGCUCAUGCUGACCCACUCAGCAGACCAGGUGCCAGCCAGAAUGAGACCAGCUACAGUCCAGACACCAGACUUCCCUCCAGCCCUCAGCCUCAGAAGGGUCUCCUACCUCAGAGACAGGAUCUCCAC
Molecule: long non-coding RNA, 382 nt
Filed under: Equus asinus (donkey)
Lineage: Eukaryota; Metazoa; Chordata; Mammalia; Perissodactyla; Equidae
Description: lncRNA (ENSEASG00005033629.1)
Source: RNAcentral